RNAcentral lists this ribosomal RNA (448 nucleotides) under uncultured bacterium. RNAcentral describes it as "bacterial SSU rRNA". It matches the Rfam family "Bacterial small subunit ribosomal RNA", at positions 29 to 521 of the family's 1533-position model. The record is from RNAcentral.
AGCGAACGCUGGCGGCAGGCCUAAUACAUGCAAGUCGAGCGGGUCCUUCGGGAUUAGCGGCGGACGGGUGAGUAACGCGUGGGAACGUGCCCUUUGGUACGGAACAACUGAGGGAAACUUCAGCUAAUACCGUAUGUGCCCUUCGGGGAAAGAUUUAUCGCCAUUGGAGCGGCCCGCGUUGGAUUAGGUAGUUGGUGAGGUAAAGGCUCACCAAGCCUACGAUCCAUAGCUGGUCUGAGAGGAUGACCAGCCACACUGGGACUGAGACACGGCCCAGACUCCUACGGGAGGCAGCAGUAGGGAAUCUUGCGCAAUGGGCGAAAGCCUGACGCAGCCAUGCCGCGUGAAUGAUGAAGGUCUUAGGAUUGUAAAAUUCUUUCACCGGGGACGAUAAUAGACGGUACCCGGAGAAGAAAGCCCCGGCUAACUUCGUGCCAGCAGCCGCGGU